GAUGAACGCUGGCGGCGUGCUUAACACAUGCAAGUCGAACGGGAAUUACUUUAUUGAAACUUCGGUCGAUUUAAUUUAAUUCUAGUGGCGGACGGGUGAGUAACGCGUGGGUAACCUGCCUUAUACAGGGGGAUAACAGUCAGAAAUGACUGCUAAUACCGCAUAAGCGCACGGAACCGCAUGGUUCUGUGUGAAAAACUCCGGUGGUAUAAGAUGGACCCGCGUCUGAUUAGCUAGUUGGUGGGGUAACGGCCUACCAAGGCGACGAUCAGUAGCCGACCUGAGAGGGUGACCGGCCACAUUGGGACUGAGACACGGCCCAA
Molecule: ribosomal RNA, 323 nt
Filed under: uncultured bacterium
Lineage: Bacteria
Description: bacterial SSU rRNA
Rfam family: Bacterial small subunit ribosomal RNA
Source: RNAcentral